AGAGAGAGAGAGAGAGUGAGGAGAAGCACAAUCUUUCAACUGGAUCUAAUAGCAUAGGCUCCCGCGAUUCUCUCUCUAAUCUGAGAUUCCAAAGGAUGUCUAUUCGCCACGAGAAAGAGAAAGGCGUUAAUGUUCAAGUCCUUCUUCGUUGCAGACCAUUUAGUGAUGAGGAGUCGAGGAAAAAUGCUCCUCAGGUUGUUUGCAACGAGUACCAGAGGGAGGUUGCCGUUUCUCAGAGUAUUGCUGGGAAGCAUAUAGAUAGAGUUUUCACUUUCGACAAGGUUUUUGGUCCUUCUGCUCAACAAGAAGAUCUUUAUGAACAAGCUAUGGUGCCAAUUGUAAAUGAAGUUUUAGAAGGCUUCAACUGUACUAUUUUCGCAUAUGGUCAAACUGGUACAGGUAAAACAUACACGAUGGAAGGGGAAUGCAAAAGGUCAAAGAGUGGCCCUAACGGAGAAUUGCCUCCAGAAGCAGGGGUCAUACCCAGAGCUGUUAAGCAAAUAUUUGAUACACUCGAAAGCCAGAAUGCUGAAUAUAGUGUGAAAGUUACUUUCUUAGAACUGUACAAUGAGGAGAUCACUGAUUUGCUUGCCCCAGAUGAAAUUUCUAAAGUAGCUUUGGAGGAGAAGCAAAAGAAGCAGUUGCCUCUAAUGGAGGACGGGAAAGGUGGAGUUCUUGUAAGAGGUCUGGAGGAGGAAAUAGUAACAAGUGCCAGUGAGAUAUUUACUCUUCUUGAAAGGGGUUCCGCAAAACGUCGCACUGCAGAAACUUUGUUAAACAAGCAAUCAAGUCGGUCGCAUUCUCUUUUUUCCAUUACAAUACAUAUCAAGGAAGCAACUCCCGAAGGUGAAGAACUAAUCAAAUGCGGGAAGUUGAAUUUGGUUGAUCUAGCGGGUUCAGAAAAUAUCUCGCGUUCUGGUGCUCGGGAGGGACGCGCUAGAGAAGCUGGUGAAAUCAAUAAAAGUCUACUUACUUUGGGUCGCGUAAUUAAUGCUCUCGUGGAGCAUCUUGGGCAUGUCCCAUACAGGGAUAGCAAGCUCACUAGGUUGCUUCGUGAUUCACUUGGGGGAAGAACGAAAACGUGCAUAAUAGCAACAGUUUCACCAGCUGUUCAUUGUCUCGAAGAGACAUUGAGUACACUGGAUUAUGCACACAGAGCCAAGAAUAUAAAAAAUAAGCCAGAGGUGAACCAAAAAAUGAUGAAAUCAACUCUUAUCAAGGACCUUUAUGGAGAGAUUGAAAGGCUCAAGGCAGAGGUGUAUGCUGCACGGGAAAAAAAUGGGGUUUAUAUCCCAAAGGAGCGAUACUAUCAGGAGGAAAGUGAAAGGAAGGCCAUGGCCGAUCAGAUAGAACAAAUGGGAGUUACUAUAGAAACCCAUCAGAAGCAACUGGAGGAUUUACAGGAAAAAUAUAAUGCCCAAGUUCAACAAUGUUCUCAUUUGAGCAGAAAACUUGAUGCCACCGAGAAAAACUUGAAUGAAACCUGCAAAUUGCUCACCAGUACUGAGGAAGAACUGAAGAAAUGUCUAUAUGCUUUGAAGGAGAGGGAUUUUGUCAUAUCUGAACAGAGAAAAGCAGAGAAUGCUCUGGCUCAACAAGCAUGUGUUUUACGUUCUGACUUAGAGAAAGCUCUUCAAGAUAAUAUUUCUUUGUACCAAAAGAUUGGUAUGCUUUCCUUAUUUGAUAAUGCAAAGUUUUGUCAGUGGUUAAUUUAAAAAUGGUAUCAAAUGGAAUGCUUUAUAGGACGAGAAGAUAAGCUGAAUGCUGAUAAUAGAGCACUGGUGACCAAUUUCCAAAAGGAGCUCUCCCAACAAGUUGGUUCUCUUCAAAAUAUGGUGGCUUCAUCAAUGUUGAGGCAAGAUGAACAUCUUGAGUGUGUUGAGAAACUUUGUCAUUCUUUCCUAGACAUACAUGAUAAGGCAGUGAAGGAUAUGAAGAAGAAAUUGACAGCUUCAAGGGCUUUAUAUAUUUCCCACAUUGAGGCGGUGCAAAACGUUGUACGAUUGCACAAGGCUAGCGCUAUCGCUGGCUUAGAGGAAAUUUCAUGUUUGGCUUCUUCUAAUGCACAUUCUAUUGGAGAUUUUCUCGCAUCAGAGGCAGGUAAGGCAGCAUCAAUAUUUGAUGAUCUUCGGAGUGCUCUUUCAACCCACCAGGGAGACAUGGCUCUUUUUGCUAGGGAACUGCGUCAGAAAUUCCAUGUUAGUGGUGAGCGUAUGAAGGAGGUUUCUGACUUCAUGAAUGGAUUUCUCCAAAAGAUUUUGGAACAAUUCCAAGGGCUGCAGAAUGAUGCAGCACAAGCUGAUGAAAUUCAGUUGAAAAGCAUUGCUGAUUUUCAGAAGGCUUAUGAGGAAAAAUCAAAAUCUGAUGCUGAAAAGCUUGUUGCUGAUAUCAGCAACCUGGUCUCCAAUCACAUUCAGCGUCAAAAAGAGCUGGUGGACUCAAGGCUUGUUGUUCUUAGAGAAACUGCAACUGGAAACAAGGCAAAUUUGGAUAUGCAUGCUUCUUCAAUGGAGGGCAUGACAACAGAUGCAAAACGAAAAUGGCAGGAAUUUUCUAUGCAAGCAGAGAAUGAUGCUAAGGAUUGUGCAGAUUACUCUGCUGUGAAACAUUGUCGUAUGGAGUUACUUUUACAGCAGUGUUUAAGCACUACUGAAUCAGCUUUUGAGCACUGGAAAAAGACUCGUGAGUCGGUGAACGAGAUGGGCAGUAAACAUGUUUCAUCUUUGCUGUCACUCACCAGAAAUGUAUCUGAUAGCAUUGAGCAAAACGAUGCUGAGAUUGGCUGUGCAAGAGUUGCAGCUGAACAAGAUGGGGCAAGGAAUAGUGAUGAUGUCCUUAAGCAUAUUGACAAUGUAUCAGAACAGGAGCGGGAAUCUGUAUCUGGAAUCUUGGGAGCUGUCAAAGCUCAUGCAGAUACACUUGAGGUUUUCAGGGAGGAUCUUUCAGGCCAAUCGACAGCUAUUGAGAGCAAAGCACAGGAAACCCUCCAGCAGCAAUAUAUGGAUUAUGAGCCGACAGGCACAACACCAGUGAGAUGUGAGCCAGACAUUCCCAGUAAGGGGACGAUUGAAUCACUUCGAGCAAUGCCAAUGGAAACUCUUCUUGAAGAAUUCAGGGAAAAUAAUUCUUACGAAUCAUUUGAGGUGAAGGAACUGAAACCAUCUUUAAUACCAAGGUCACCCCUUGUACAACUGAACUAGUAAUUGGCUGGUCCUGUCUGAUCCAUCUACUUGCCAAUUAUUGCCAAUUUGUUGGUUGUAAGAAUCUUGUACAUUGUUAUUAUUUCCAUCAGAAAAUUCUCAGGAUGCUUUGGAGGGUGUAUUUUACAUAAUCCUGGUGUUUAGGAUAAAUUAAUCCCAUCUUGGGAUUUUUAGUAAUAUGUAGUAGCUUAGUACAAGGAUGUAAAGUGAGGCAGAGCUCCACACUUGGUCAUAUAAUUUUUAUUUUUGGGAUACUGAAUCCAUUAAUCAAUUCUGUGCUUAUUGUAUGACAUACACAGUUCUUGUUUUCUUGAGAGCAGAAAAUAAAGUUUUGUUGGAUAGUCAUUAGAAUCAA
RNAcentral lists this unclassified non-coding RNA (3555 nucleotides) under Hevea brasiliensis (rubber tree). Lineage: Eukaryota; Viridiplantae; Streptophyta; Magnoliopsida; Malpighiales; Euphorbiaceae. The record is from RNAcentral.